Molecule: unclassified non-coding RNA, 996 nt
Filed under: Hevea brasiliensis (rubber tree)
Lineage: Eukaryota; Viridiplantae; Streptophyta; Magnoliopsida; Malpighiales; Euphorbiaceae
Source: RNAcentral
GUAAUAUAUCGUGAUUUUAAAACCUCCAAUAUCCUAUUAGAUGCGGAUUAUAAUGCCAAGCUUUCUGAUUUUGGACUUGCUAAAGAUGGUCCUGAGGGAGAUAAGACACAUGUAUCUACACGUGUCAUGGGAACAUAUGGUUAUGCAGCCCCAGAAUAUGUGAUGACUGGGCAUCUCACAUCAAAGAGUGAUGUCUAUAGUUUUGGUGUAGUUUUACUUGAAAUGAUAACUGGCAGAAGAUCCAUGGAUAAGAACCGACCUAUUGGAGAACAUAACCUUGUGGAAUGGGCUCGGCCACAUCUAGGCGAGAGAAGAAGAUUCUACAGAUUGAUAGACCCUCGGCUUGAGGGCCACUUUUCAAUAAAAGGUGCCCAGAAAGCAGCACAACUGGCUGCACACUGCCUUAGCCGGGAUUCAAAAGCCAGGCCUCUGAUGAGCGAAGUUGUGGAGGUGCUGAAGCCUCUGCCAAAUCUUAAGGACAUGGCAAGCUCAUCAUAUUAUUUCCAGACCAUGCAAGCUGAGCGAGCUGUAUCCAGCCCAAAUGCCAAAAAUAUCAGCCGAACACAAGGAGGAUUUUUGAGGAAUGGACAGCAACAGAGGAGUCUUUCAAUAACAAAUGGUUCCCAUGCAUCUCCUUACCACCAUCAAUACCCUCAUCAAUCGCCGAAACCCAAUGGAAAAACCAUAGCAUGGGGUCAGUAAUUAUCUGCUUUACUCCAACCCUUUUCAUCAUUCAUUUCUUUUUCCCGUUGUUCCCAGUAUAGAUUUAUUUUCUGUGAAAGCGUUUCUUCUUGGACACUGGAAAAAGCAACAGAGGAACAUGUCCGCCCCAUGUUGUGUUUAGAAUGAUGACCCCCCAGCAGGAAGAAUCUUAGGCAGGUGAAGCUUAUGGAGAAAAACUGUCAACACUGUGUUACCACAGAAUGUAUUGAAAUGUUUAAAGAUUAUUUCUCUUUAUGAGCAUUUUAAUACAUUCUGUGGUAACACAGUGUUGAC